AGCUAGUUGAUGAGUCCCAAACAGGACGAAAUGUGCAUACUGGGU
This 45-nucleotide non-coding RNA is filed under the name Trichobilharzia regenti. The record is from RNAcentral. Lineage: Eukaryota; Metazoa; Platyhelminthes; Trematoda; Strigeidida; Schistosomatidae.